GUGGAUGUAGCUCAGUUGGUUAGAGCGCCGGAUUGUGGAUCCGGAGGUCGCGGGUUCAAAACCCGUCAUCCACCCCA
Molecule: transfer RNA, 77 nt
Filed under: Nitrospira sp.
Lineage: Bacteria; Pseudomonadati; Nitrospirota; Nitrospiria; Nitrospirales; Nitrospiraceae
Also listed under: 2 other names
Description: tRNA-His
Rfam family: tRNA
About the family: Transfer RNA (tRNA) molecules are approximately 80 nucleotides in length. Their secondary structure includes four short double-helical elements and three loops (D, anti-codon, and T loops).
Source: RNAcentral